AUGAACGCUGGCGGCGUGCCUAAUACAUGCAAGUCGAGCGAACGGACGAGAAGCUUGCUUCUCUGAUGUUAGCGGCGGACGGGUGAGUAACACGUGGAUAACCUACCUAUAAGACUGGGAUAACUUCGGGAAACCGGAGCUAAUACCGGAUAAUAUUUUGAACCGCAUGGUUCAAAAGUGAAAGACGGUCUUGCUGUCACUUAUAGAUGGAUCCGCGCUGCAUUAGCUAGUUGGUAAGGUAACGGCUUACCAAGGCAACGAUGCAUAGCCGACCUGAGAGGGUGAUCGGCCACACUGGAACUGAGACACGGUCCAGACUCCUACGGGAGGCAGCAGUAGGGAAUCUUCCGCAAUGGGCGAAAGCCUGACGGAGCAACGCCGCGUGAGUGAUGAAGGUCUUCGGAUCGUAAAACUCUGUUAUUAGGGAAGAACAUAUGUGUAAGUAACUGUGCGCAUCUUGACGGUACCUAAUCAGAAAGCCACGGCUAACUACGUG
This 496-nucleotide ribosomal RNA is filed under the name uncultured bacterium. RNAcentral describes it as "partial 16S ribosomal RNA". It matches the Rfam family "Bacterial small subunit ribosomal RNA", at positions 29 to 507 of the family's 1533-position model. The record is from RNAcentral.